GCCUGAGUGGCUCAUUUGGUUAAGCGUCUGACUCUUGGUUUCUGCUCAGGUCAGGAUCUCAGGGUCAUGGGAUCAAGUCCCACCUCAGGCA
Molecule: transfer RNA, 91 nt
Filed under: Canis lupus familiaris (dog)
Lineage: Eukaryota; Metazoa; Chordata; Mammalia; Carnivora; Canidae
Also listed under: 2 other names
Rfam family: tRNA
About the family: Transfer RNA (tRNA) molecules are approximately 80 nucleotides in length.
Source: Rfam by way of RNAcentral